UUUUUUUCUUUUUGAGCUACUUUUCAAAAAAUAUGGAGCGCGAAAUACCAGCACGGCGUCAAUCCCAGUUAAAAAGGCAAAUUAUACGACUGACGAAAACAACUUCGAGCAAUGCGGUUCAAGGCGAGUCAGUUUAUCCAGUGAAUACACUAUAGAAUCACGUAGGAUAAGUGUGUCAAUUUGCAGAGUCCAACCAAGAUGUGUAUGAAGUUGUGUGCUGCAGUCACUGCGAAAUCUUCCAAAAACAACUAGAAUCAUUGAAUGCCAAGGUCGACAAGCUUCAAAGGGUAGUGGAAACUCAGAACGCUGCAAUUAUGGAUGCAAUAGCUGGGCAGAACGUGGCUACUGAGCAACUGGUUCGCCAAGAAUCACAGAAGGCACCAGUUGUAAAAUACUUCCCGAUAUGUAACAUAUCAGAAAUGCAGCAGUUGGAAAAUAAGAUAACAAUAGAGAUGUCUAUGAAACUGCCAUUUCUUCUAUACUUCAAUUUAACCUAAAAAAUAUAACACUGGCAUAAGGAGUGAUGUUAUUAAUGCAAUAAAUGUCGAUGGAUCGCAUGGUAAAGUUGGACUCAAAUCUUUUAAAAACUUUUACCACACGCUUACAGGAGCUAUAGCGAAGUUGCCUUUGAAAGGAUUGACGCCAGAAGAGUCUCUAAGGAAAGCCUUGCAAUUUGAGAAAUCAAAACAUUUAAAAAAUAUAUAUAGACAAAAAACCAAAAUGAUACCUUAAAUUAAGGGAUUUUUAACUUAUAACCUAAGACGAAAUGGAUAAAUGAAAUGGAUUUUAUUUUUAACUUAUAACUUAAAACGAAAUAGUUCAAAUGAAAUGAAUUUAAAAAUUUUACUUUUAAAAAAGUUAUUGACAAACCAAAAUGAAUCUUUAAGUUAACGUAUUUUUAACUUAUAACUUAAAACGAAAUGGUACAAAUGAAAUGAAUUUAAACAUUUUACAUUUAAACAAAUUAUAGACAAAAAACCAAAAACCAAAAUAAAACUAUAA
Rhagoletis pomonella (apple maggot) is the source of this 1002-nucleotide long non-coding RNA. RefSeq lists it as uncharacterized. NCBI's taxonomy places the organism in Eukaryota, Metazoa, Arthropoda, Insecta, Diptera, Tephritidae. The transcript has 5 exons. The record is from RefSeq and is a predicted model, not a curated record.